Vitis vinifera (wine grape) is the source of this 3637-nucleotide RNA transcript. It is a transcript of the gene named protein HEAT INTOLERANT 4, with no coding region annotated. Lineage: Eukaryota; Viridiplantae; Streptophyta; Magnoliopsida; Vitales; Vitaceae. The transcript has 4 exons. The record is from RefSeq and is a predicted model, not a curated record.
CUACCAUGCCUCUUAUUCUCACUUGUUCCUUCUUCUGUUCAGUUUUUCUCAACCUCGGCUCCUUGCUCCCAUAGCUUCAAUGGCGGAGAUUAACCUCCUCUAACCUCAAUAUCUUUCUCUAAUCUUAUCUUAAUUCGUGUGAUUUUCUGAUCUGGGUCUCCAUUAUUUUUGGCUCAGAUCAUCGUUUUCAUUGCUUACUAGUCUCUGCAAGUCCUACUCUUCAAACCAUUGACAGGAACCAAGUUUUCUGAUAACUGGGGCUUUAGUGGCUUCUUGAUUGGUAUUCUCAGAUUCUGAGAAAUGGGUUUCGCACGGAAUGGCUUUUUCUUAUGAGAAAUCUUCUUUAGUUGUUUGAGUUUUUCUUUGACGGACUCUCCAAUUAUGGGCAGAGGUAGAGGAAAGGGGAAGAAACAGACUGUUAUUGCUACUCGUGAUGAUCCAGGAAGCGGUGAGGACGAAAAGAUCCCAGCAUACAAGAGAAGAGGAAGGCCACAGAAACCAGUGAAGGAUGAUGUUGAAGAAGAAGAAGAAGCUGAGAAGGUGGCAAUAGAAGAAGAUGGUGAGAAUGAAAAAGGGCCUAUCACAAGCAAAGAUGCAAAAAAUCAGGCUACAACCGAGAACGGAAGGAAGAGGAAAAGAUCCUUACAGACCAAAGAGAACUCAGAUUCAGUCAAAGAGGAGAAUGGCACUGAAACUAAAUCUAACAACAAUGAUCUAAAGUCUGUUGGAUUUCGACAAAAUGGGAGCAGGAGGAAAAACAAGCCUCGGCGAGCUGCUGAAGCUGGUGUUGAGUGCAAAUGAGCUUCUGGUUAGCUGGUGCGAUGCGUUUCUACCUUCUUUCCCAUCGCCAGAUCAGUUACUAGUAUGGAAGCAAGGCUUUGUUGGUUCAUAAAUGUCUUCUUUUUUUUAUAUGUUUUGCCUUUCAUAAUUUCUGAAUUUUAUUUCUUGCAAAUGGAUGGUUUUAAUUGGGAGAUUUGGAACAGGUUAUACCGCUUAUAAUCUUCCAUAAGCUACUUCUACUAUUAUGCAUUUCAUCACAAGUAAACCGAAGCAUUUUUCCCCUACCCAGCAAAACUUCUCCCACUACAUCCAUUUAUGUUGCUCUCAGUUUGGCAUAAAAUUAGCCAUCUCCAUUCUUACAUUAACAAUCAUAUUUUCUUUUUCUUUCCUUGGGAAGUUUUUAUAGUUGAGGCAGAUGAAUUUAUACAAGCUCAUUCGGGGGCAUCCACCAAAGUGGUGAUAAAAUAAUAGGCAAUUACUAAUAUUUAUGAAAUCAGAGAAUGAAUGCUGGAUGCAGGCUGGGGAACAAAGAAUGAAGUUGAAAUUGGAUAGAAAAGUGCCUUGUUGAAUACAAGCCUUCACUGGAGUUAUGCGUGGCCAAAUUUGUUGGAUAUAUCACUGAUGAUAUUUAUGAUCAUUUGAUAUUUAGACUCUUUUCAUGCACUGAUUACUCAAGAGGCUCUAAUACUUCAACCAAAGAAUUCAUGUAGGCAGAAUGAGUAAAUGGAUUCUGCAAUAUUUACUAUGUGAUCCUUAUCUCCAUUAAAGACACAUAUUUUCUGUUCCUUACUUGAAAGGGAAAUGAUAGUGUUGCAGAUCAGUGACUGUGGGACACAUUGAGCAUUGAUUUUGCAAUGGAGAGACUAUUUGAUCUCAUCCAUAGCACCAAACUGUCUUAAAACUUCUUAGAAGUGAAAUGAGUUGAGCUGGAAAACAGGACCUGCUGUGCAUUUGCUUUCCAAAAUGGAGUAAAGUUACACGUACAGUUGAGCUGGACUCUUAUAAUCUUACUGUAAUUUGAGAUCAAGCAUCUUAUAGGAACAUUGGGGGGAGAAAUCUGCUGCUUCUUCAUGUAAUGCUCAACAUCUCAUGCAUUUGGUCAUCAAGAAUUGAUGUUCAUAUUCCUCCAUUGUGUGCCCUUUUUGUUGUUCAUGUAUGUGUUUUUACCUUGGUCUAUAUAUUGAUGUAUAUUUAUUGUGCAUAUUGUGAGAGAGCUUGGAAGUUGUUCAUGGAAUUUGUUUUCCAGACUUGUUGUAGAUGUUGGGUGUUUGUGACUUUCAUGUACCCUAUCACAUUUUCAUCUUUGUACACAUUUUUUCUUCUGCUUUUGAUGGAGAACAUGAGCACUGAAGGUGGAGAGAUGAAUUAUUCUGGAUGAAUCAAGGGGUGCCUCAGGAUGUAAUCUAAAAAUUAUAGCAUUAACUUGUUUUUUUUCUGUGUCCUUUUCCUCCAUGUUUUGAGUGAAACAUGUCCAUUCUCUUGAAUGGGGGCAUUGCAUCCUUGUUCUGGACAAACAUUAAUGAACACCCUUGUGCCUUUCUGUGCUAAAGGAAGGUUUCUUUGUUUGUUCAAUUCUUUGGCUGUGCAUCUGGGUGUGUGUCUGUACGCCUUUGUGUUUGCUCUGGAGUGCAGGUAUACAUGUUUGGAAGUUCCUAGUAACUGUUUGCUGUUAUUCUCAGCUGUUACAUAUAUGUAUGUUCAUUGGUUACUGAAGUUUCAAAAUAGCAUACGUAUGUUUUUUCCUCCCAGUUUUAAUUGUUACUCCAGUUUUCAAUUGACACAUUUGGAUGGAAGAAAGAAAUGAAUAAUUCAGAUAUAAUCAAAUUCGGUUUUACAUUCCUGUCUGAAGACUUUUGGGGUUGGGGGUGCUACUACUAUUUGCUUAACUACAUGAAAAGUAUUAGAACUGUCGCAGUUGAGACAUGUUUAGCUAUAGAGAAUCAACCUCUUGAUUGAUCCUGUUUAGAACAUAGUUUAUGACACAACAUCAAGAUAUGAUGAUUCUAAUCCAUCCCAUCUAAAAGCUUUGCUACUUAUUCUACCCUUUCCCACUUGCACUGUGUGCCUAUUUCUUUCUUUGCUUUAUUUCAGUUUUACUGGGCAUGUGUCCCUAUGGUCUUACAUUCAAAGAGAAACUGCAAUAUCAAAGUGGUUUAGCAUUUUUUGUUUCCUCUGUUUUAGGUGGGAGUUUUUUUUUUUUUUUGGUACUUGUCUAUUUACAAACUGAUUUACCGCAGAUUCAUUGUCAGUAAAUAAAUGGUACAGUCCUCUUUGCUUGAACAGGCCCGUGUAAUGGUGCCUAUCUUUGCUUCAUUACUAGCAAGAUUUGCACAUUACAAAGAGGACCCAUUGGCCUAUGUUUUGUUGUUUAUCUGUACUUGAAUGAUAAAAAUGAUGAUUUACAUUUGGCUUUGUUGCUUUUAGGUACUUUUGCAGCAAAUACUCUUAAGCCCUGUUCAAAGAUCAGCCUGCUAAAUCUGGGGGAUGAGGCAAGGCUUGAAAGUUUUCACUGAUGAACUUCAAAUCUACUUGUGGCAAAGGCAUGAUGGUAAAGGCAUGAUGGUAAGAGUAUUCCCCCACCACCCCAAUCCAAAAGUAAAUGAAAUCAGUUUCCACCACCCACACAUGCAUACACUGAUACACCUACAACAAUCACCUGCUUUCAUCAUCAUUAUGAACCUAACCAAAACCCAGCUUGUUUGUAAUCUGGCUGGACUCAGGUUUAACUUUAUUGUUUAGCAGGUUGGUGGAUCGAGUUUUAACUUUAAGCCCUGACUCGAUCAGACACACACUAAAAGACUUCCUUUCAAUCAUUGUAUCCCUUGCUUAAAAGACAAACACUAAAAGAAUGGAAGAA